RNAcentral lists this long non-coding RNA (802 nucleotides) under Phoenix dactylifera (date palm). RNAcentral's name for it is "long non-coding RNA (PDAC_LNC004760)". Lineage: Eukaryota; Viridiplantae; Streptophyta; Magnoliopsida; Arecales; Arecaceae. The record is from RNAcentral.
AGAUGCAUGUUGUUCUCUUUUGUUCCAUCAUCUGUUCAGUUGAGAGGAAAAAAGAUCAUUCAGAAAAGCAAGGAAUGCAUCUUAAUCAGCGUCAGCAGGCACCCUGAGUUGGUGGUGUUGGCGAUAUGUUCCUGUUGAUGAUAUUUCUUCUCAUUGGGAGGUGGGUGUGAUCGAGCAACCCUCUUUGGCUCAUGACCUGCAAUACUCCAUUUGCUGGCUGCCAGGAUGUACAAACAUGCAUUGCUUUCACAUUGAUGUGAGUGAAUAAUGGAGCAAGCAGUGAUCAAGACUCGACUGUUUGCUGUGCCCAUUCCUUGAGACUUCAGCCUUUUAUAGAGGGAGGAGAGGAGGAUAACUUGGCUGCUGCAGCAGUUCAUCUCGAACCGAUGACAAGAGAAGAGACUGCAAGGAUUUUAUCUGGAAUCCAUCAGUCAAAGUUCGUACAUGGUGACAAAACAAAAGAUGGUUGGAGUUGGGAGGUUUGAGCAGUUUCUCUUCACCUGCUAAAAGCUUUGCAUGUUGGAUGAAGAGGAUUAAAAGAGAAUACUGGAAAAGAAGUUCUCCAGACUGCUGCAGUAGAUCUGUCCUCUUGAUUUCCUCCUUUUUUAGCAGUAGUUUAGGAGCAUCUUUUGCUUCUCAGUGUCUUUAUCUUAUAGUCAUUAUCGUUACCAUUCUUGCACUCAUCCCUUCCAUUAUUACUUGCUUGCUGAGUGGCGAUCUAUUUUUUCACACAUGCUCAUGGAACCCUACUCACCAUCCCAUCUCUCUCUUGCCUUGGUUCUCUCUUUCCUAACCUGGCGGU